AUACGGUUUUGCUCAAUUCCACUUUAUAUAUUUACUCAUGUAAUAUAAUUUCAGAGUAAUUUAAUUAGAUUUGGGUGAGUAUAUUUUAAUAAUUUUCUUUUAUCAGUUAAUUACAAUGUGCCAGAGAAUUUCUAGAUCUUGAAUUUCCAUUUGAUAUAUUUUUCUUAUGAACUUAAUUUCGUUUAAUAUUAUGCAGGUUGUGUGUUAUACAUUUGACCAUUGUAUAAUGAUCUCCUCUGAUAUUGUUACUACUAUAAUUAAUUAUUGAACUAUUUUAAGAAAUUCAUAUGUGUUUUAGGAUAAUCUUAUGUUAUGAUUUAUAUAAUGAUGUGCCUCAGGAGGAAGCAGAAAAGAAGGUUAGUUCCUGUGAUUGAGUCUGAGAAUUAUAUUUUUUAUUUUUAACUGCUUAAAAUGUUGUUGGUAAUAUAGAACUAAAAGUUUAAUUUGAUCAUUUUUCUUUCCAGGCAAUGGCUGAAAAGAUUGAGAGCAUGGAAUUUGAUGUAGAAUCCCGAAACAAGGUAAGUGAUUUUUAUGACAUUCUAUAUGCUACGAUAUGAUUUAUCUUUUAGAGAAUUGAUUGUGUAUAAAAUUUAUUUGCAAUUUAUGGAGCUUCAGGGAAUUCACAAUUUUCAGUUGCAACUAACAGAAGAACUAUGUAAUAAUCUACAGAAAACAGAGGUAUUGAAUUGCACCAUUUGCCAUUUGCGGAGUCCCGUCCCUGAAUGCCCCAUUUCCCAUUCCCUUUUCCCAAUCUACCCAACCCCAUUCAAUUUAUCCCAAACUACCCACCUUUUGCAUAUUCCACAUUAAUUAAAUGGUUAAAUGGACCCCACUUACAAGUUGUGGGGACAAAAGUGAUGAAUCAAAAAACUUGCACACAUACAUUUUACAUAUAGGUACCUAAGUUUUUUAUUUUUAUUAAAUUUAUUCUACUUUUACUUAAUUGAUCAUAAUAAUUAUAAAUUAUUAACUAAUAUUUAUUUGAACAUGUAAAUAAAUGAAGAUCCAAUAUUAAACUUAAUUAUCCAAUAAUUAUAAAUAUUACAUGAUAGCAACUUUUAGGUAAAAUUAAACUUGACAAUUAAAAUACAACAACAUAUUAAUCUUAAAAUUAUUGUCCAUGUUGUGGGCAACGGCGACUGCGUCUUGUGUGACCUUCUUGACCGCAUCUCCCACAAGUUUUAACCUUUUGAGAGUUAUCCAUUUCCGUUCGAAUACGUUGACUUUGACCUCUCUGUCCAUGUUUCUUCCUCUUCUUUCUCAGAUUUUCGUCAGCAAUAAGAGUACCAUACAUCUCCCAGUUGUAUGCUAGUGGAAACGUCCAAUACGCUUGAUUUGCCAUUGGAUGAAAUUCGUACUUCCACAUUUCAUACAAUAUUGUCAGGUUGUGAUAACCUUCGAUGUAUUGCUUCCAAUCGAGAUUACAUACCAAACAAGCAGCAACUAUAACAUGGAGUGUAAUACCGACCCCAUUUUCCACAAGAACAGAAACCUUGAAACAAAUUUAGUGUAUGUUUGUUUCCACCUUUCCAAUAUCCAUUCGUUGUUCGAUAACGUGCAGUGAUAACCUCAAAGUCCCCUCUUUGUUCAUUAUAUGGGACAACCUUGUGGGCUGAAGCCUUCUCUUCUAUUUUUUCAAACAGCUCCCUCGAUUUUUUACAAUAUGUAUGGCUAUUCUGUAGGUCAUUCAAUAUUUCAGUGCGCCUUUCUGCAACCAACUUCAAUGAACGAUAAUAGAUAUACUCAAUCAUUGACGUGACCGGAAGAAAACGAGCUGAUCUUAAGAGUCCGUUGAAACUUUCAAUCAUAUUUGUAGUCGCCUGACCAUAGCGAUAUCCUCCAUCGUGAGACAUAGUCCACAUCUCCAAUGGAAUAUUUCGUAACCAUUUCUCAGCAUCAGGAUUAAGCUCUUUUAUCUUGUUCAUAGCUGCUUCAAAUUUUCUCAAUUGAGAAGUGUUUCCAGCCAACCAACAUAGCAUCUUCAAAUGAGAACCAGGAAAAUGUGAACUAAAAUUGCUACGAACAUGUAAAAGACAAAAUCUGUGUAAACCCAUAUCACCAGUGAAUCAACUUUGUUCCAUUUUCAUUGCUUCAAUAAUUCCAGCAUGACGAUCUGAAAUUAUGCAUGUACCUUUUCUGUUUUGACACACAUAUAUUCGAAGGUGGUAUAAGAACCAAGACCAGUUGAUUGUCGUUUCUUCAUUAACUAGAGCAUAAGCAAGUGGGUACUGUUGAUUAUUUGAAUCAAAUCCCAUAGCAAUCAACAACUUUCCAUUGUAUCUUCCUUUUAAAAAUGUACCAUCAAUGCUUAUAACUGGUCGAGCAUGUUGUCACCCAUCUAUCAUGGGUUUAAAUGCCCACCACACACGCUUACACACUGAUGUGUUAUGAUUUAGAACAUCAGCUUCAAUUAAUGUAACCGUACCUGGAUUAUAAUGCAUCAAAGCACUAAAAAAUCUAGGAAGUUUAGAAUAAGAAGUUGUCCAAUCUCCAUACACAUCUGAUAUUGCCUUUUGCUUGCCAAUCCAUGCCUUCUUGUAACUAACAUGAUAUUGGUACAUAGAUGUGAUUUGAUUCAUGAUAUUAUGGGUAUGGACUCUCCGUGAUAUAAAAUAAAUUUUUUUUGAGAUAAUUAGUAGCAAUCCAAGAGGUGUGUGUGUGUGUGUGUUAAAUAUGACUAUGAAAGAAUGAAUUUUUGUUCUUACUUGCUGUUUUAUAACACUAGCGAUUAAGCUUGAGCUCAGGUUCUUAUGAUCUCGUUGAAGUGUUCUCAAAAGACAAGUAUGUUCGGCAGGCAGUUUUGUUAUUUCAAAAUAACAACUUGCCUUUCGUUUUAUAACGCGAAUUUUCCAUUGACAUUCGUCGACGACACAUUUCGCCUCAUAUCGUGUUGUAUCGCUCUUAGAAACACGAUAGUUUCUAGAAUUUCUUAUAUGACUCGUUUGUAUUGCAUUUAUAGCAGUUUGCUUAUCUACAAAACAUUGACCAACAAACAAGUCAUCAGUAAGAGGGUUUAAGUUAGAAGAAGCACCUGAACUAUUAGCAAACUUGUUAGAAGUGGUUUCUUCUGUAAACCAUGGUGCAGUAGGCACAUAUUCUUCCUCUUCUUCAUCAUUAUCAGUAUCUGUCGAAUCAGAAUCACCAUCAUCGUCAAUAUCCUCAUAAUCUGUUUCAAUUUAUGAAUCAUGUAAAGGACUAAAUUCAUCGUCUCUACUCAAAUUAUAGAUAAGAUUCGAUCUCAUUAUAUCAUCAUUGAUAGAAUUCUCCAUCUGCAAUAUAGUAAGAUAAUUAGUAAUAACACACUAAAAUAUAUGAAUUCAAAAAAUGCUAAGAAAAACAAACCUGAUCAGCUUGGUAUAUUUCACCUCAUAUUGCAAAAUUUAGCAAAUUUGACAAGACAUAAAGUGUGAAUAGUUGAAUUGAUAAAUGAGCCAAACAGUUGAAUUGACAAUUCAGUAUUAAAAUUUGAGUAGACAAUGCACUGCAAAGUUAGACAUUAUUUUCAAAAAGUUAGAUAGUAUACAGUAUGUAUUAUUUUGUAAAUAGUUGAUUUGAUAACUCAGAAAAAGUAUUUAAAUUAUUUACUUUAUUAAUUUAUAAAUAUAAAUUGGUCAUAUUGUAAUUAUUUAUAAAGUAUUUAUUAAUAUAUAAUUUAUAAUACUUCUAAUGAUAUAAAUAUAUAAAAAUUGAAACAUAAAUUAGAAAAUAUAUAUAAAAAAUGAAAUGAUUGAAAUUGUUAUGAUAUUUAACAUAUUAUGAGGUUUAAAAAAAAAUGAAAACCCACCAAUUUGGUGGCUCUAAACCAGCGGAUAAAACAAAAACAAUGCAGGGUGUUAAUAAAUAGCCAAAGGAAUUAUCCAUACUUUAUAUAUCAAAACUUACGGGUCCAAAUGAAAUUAAAAUUGUUAAACCACAGUGGCUUAGUUGCAUUUUUGUGCGAACUUAUGUGUACAGCGCAACAUGUUUAAUAUAAAGAAUAGGUUGUGGGCCAGGUUUUCUACACAUUUCCAAGCGUACAGUGCAAAAGAUGGGUAGUUAAGGAAAGAUUGAAUGAAUGUGGGUAGACUGGGAAACGUGAACAACAACAUGGGUACUGCGGGAAAGGAUUCGCCAUUUGCGAAUGCCCUGUUGCUAUUUGGUCAAUCAAGUUAUUAGUAUUCAGUUGGGCAUGUUCUUCAUGCUUUUGUCAAUGGUAAUCUUGAAGGUGAUCGCAGUAAACUUUUCUUCUAGAUGAUUUUUGGGUUCUGUUUUCCAUAUCUAUUGAUGCCUUGGCACUUAAAACUGCCUAUCUAAUUUAGUAUUCCUUCUAAUCCUUCCAUAAAUCAUGUACUUAAUCCCAGUCCAAGAUUUGUACUGUAGUACCAAUAGGUUAUCUAUUUACAAAAAUAAAAAAAGGCUAUAUUUUCCAUGUUUCAGAUUCAAAAUUUUUAGCUGUCUAAUUAGUCUCCCAGAACUUCUCUCCAAUGUACUUACAUUUGUAUAUACAUUAUGGCUUUAUGUAGGGAGUGCAAUAGGAAGUAAUGGUCAUACUAAAGUUUCCCUUGAUGUUCCCUUGAUAUGGUUGGUGUUGACCCUUCAAUUGUUAAUGUCUUCCAUAGAAUUCUUAUAGCUAAGGUAAGCCAUUUUUUGAUUAUAAUUUUUUUGUAUAUAUUGGAUUUGGUUGGUCUAUAUAAGGGUCAUUUUUCCAUGCUGAUUAGUUAGGUUUUAGUAUUAUUCAUUUGUCGAUUGUAUUAGCUACUUCACACAGCGGAUUUGGUAAAUUAACAGUGAGGCUUGACCUCUCCUUACUGAACAACUUAUCCAAAACUACUUGGCUUUAUAAGGUGUCACAUAUAUAAACCAUUUGGGUGGACCUUAAACUAUAAAAAAUACAUGAAAAAUAGGAAUAACAAUGUCAGGUAGUGUGAGCAGGUCAAGGAAUAACCGGGAUAGAAGGAAAGCAACUUCUACCGGGGCUGCUGGCUGUAUCUUAGAAUAUGAUGGUCUGAAACAUGGGAAAUUUUCCAAGUAAUUAUAGAAGAACUUUACAAAGUUUAAACUAUGAUUGAAGGCGUUACUGAUUUCAUUGUUUCUAUAUGCAGCUUCCUGCCAUGGCUAUUGAACAGGUCCUAAUUGUGAACAGUUCGUGUCUUACUGUGUUUAAUAAGUUUAAUUUGUUCAUAGAUAGUUAUAACUUGAAUUGAAGAAGGCCGAGUUUCACGUGGAAGAUUUCACCUCAUUGCAAGUUACGUGGGACACAUCCCAUCCGGCUAUGAUAUUAGAAAAAGUGGUGAGUCUCUCCUCCGGAUUUACCCUCUACCCCACACCCCUGUUUCCAUGACCCAAACACACAUGCACAUUCUUUUGUAAGUCCAUAUGUGAAGUCGUGUCUUUAAUUUUGCAUGUACAACGAAUGAUUUAACGAAUAAAGCUCAAGGGAAAUUCCAAAGCCGCUGGUUUGGUGGUUGGACACAUAAGGUUACUGUUGCACUUUUUGCGCCACUGCUUGGUUAGACAUUCUUGAGGAGAUGCUGAGUGGUGAUGGUAUCUUGAACAAAGAUUUGAAACUGAAACGGCAAACAAUUAAUUCCACAAUAAAUUGACGACAAUAAUACAUUUUUUAAUUGAAAAUCAUUGUUUACUUUAAUUAAUGUU
This 5634-nucleotide long non-coding RNA is filed under the name Daucus carota (carrot). RNAcentral describes it as "long non-coding RNA (DCAR_LNC005538)". Lineage: Eukaryota; Viridiplantae; Streptophyta; Magnoliopsida; Apiales; Apiaceae. The record is from RNAcentral.